UACGGGGGGUGCGAGCGUUGUCCGGAAUUAUUGGGCGUAAAGAGCUCGUAGGCGGCUUGUCACGUCGGGUGUGAAAGCCCGGGGCUUAACCCCGGGUCUGCAUUCGAUACGGGCUAGCUAGAGUGUGGUAGGGGAGAUCGGAAUUCCUGGUGUAGCGGUGAAAUGCGCAGAUAUCAGGAGGAACACCGGUGGCGAAGGCGGAUCUCUGGGCCAUUACUGACGCUGAGGAGCGAAAGCGUGGGGAGCGAACAGG
This 253-nucleotide ribosomal RNA is filed under the name uncultured bacterium. RNAcentral describes it as "partial 16S ribosomal RNA". It matches the Rfam family "Bacterial small subunit ribosomal RNA", at positions 524 to 776 of the family's 1533-position model. The record is from RNAcentral.